RNAcentral lists this ribosomal RNA (492 nucleotides) under uncultured bacterium. RNAcentral's name for it is "partial 16S ribosomal RNA". It matches the Rfam family "Bacterial small subunit ribosomal RNA", at positions 29 to 507 of the family's 1533-position model. The record is from RNAcentral.
AGUGAGCGCUGGCGGUAGGCCUAACACAUGCAAGUCGAACGGCAGCACAGUAAGAGCUUGCUCUUACGGGUGGCGAGUGGCGGACGGGUGAGGAAUACAUCGGAAUCUACUUUUUCGUGGGGGAUAACGUAGGGAAACUUACGCUAAUACCGCAUACGACCUACGGGUGAAAGCAGGGGAUCUUCGGACCUUGCGCGAUUGAAUGAGCCGAUGUCGGAUUAGCUAGUUGGCGGGGUAAAGGCCCACCAAGGCGACGAUCCGUAGCUGGUCUGAGAGGAUGAUCAGCCACACUGGAACUGAGACACUGUCCAGACUCCUACGGGAGGCAGCAGUGGGGAAUAUUGGACAAUGGGCGCAAGCCUGAUCCAGCCAUACCGCGUGGGUGAAGAAGGCCUUCGGGUUGUAAAGCCCUUUUGUUGGGAAAGAAAAGCAGCAGGUUAAUACCCCGCUGUUCUGACGGUACCCAAAGAAUAAGCACCGGCUAACUUCGUG